RNAcentral lists this ribosomal RNA (498 nucleotides) under uncultured bacterium. Its description in RNAcentral is "partial 16S ribosomal RNA". It matches the Rfam family "Bacterial small subunit ribosomal RNA", at positions 28 to 508 of the family's 1533-position model. The record is from RNAcentral.
GAUGAACGCUGGCGGCGUGCCUAAUACAUGCAAGUCGAGCGAACGGACGAGAAGCUUGCUUCUCUGAUGUUAGCGGCGGACGGGUGAGUAACACGUGGAUAACCUACCUAUAAGACUGGGAUAACUUCGGGAAACCGUAGCUAAUACCGGAUAAUAUUUUGAACCGCAUGGUUCAAAAGUGAAAGACGGUCUUGCUGUCACUUAUAGAUGGAUCCGCGCUGCAUUAGCUAGUUGGUAAGGUAACGGCUUACCAAGGCAACGAUGCAUAGCCGACCUGAGAGGGUGAUCGGCCACACUGGAACUGAGACACGGUCCAGACUCCUACGGGAGGCAGCAGUAGGGAAUCUUCCGCAAGGGGCGAAAGCCUGACGGAGCAACGCCGCGUGAGUGAUGAAGGUCUUCGGAUCGUAAAACUCUGUUAUUAGGGAAGAACAUAUGUGUAAGUAACUGUGCACAUCUUGACGGGACCUAAUCAGAAAGCCACGGCUAACUACGUGC